Molecule: ribosomal RNA, 252 nt
Filed under: uncultured bacterium
Lineage: Bacteria
Description: partial 16S ribosomal RNA
Rfam family: Bacterial small subunit ribosomal RNA
Source: RNAcentral
ACGGAGGGUGCGAGCGUUAAUCGGAAUGACUGGGCGUAAAGGGUGCGUAGGUGGUUUAUUAAGUUGUUGGUGAAAUCUCCGGGCUUAACCUGGGGUUGACGAAUAAAACUGAUGAACUCGAGUAUAGGAGAGGGUAGUGGAAUUUCCGGUGUAGCGGUGAAAUGCGUAGAGAUCGGAAGGAACACCAGUUGCGAAGGCGGCUACCUGGCCUGGUACUGACACUGAGGCACGAAAGCGUGGGGAGCAAACAGG